RNAcentral lists this long non-coding RNA (791 nucleotides) under Ananas comosus (pineapple). Its description in RNAcentral is "long non-coding RNA (ACOM_LNC020377)". Lineage: Eukaryota; Viridiplantae; Streptophyta; Magnoliopsida; Poales; Bromeliaceae. The record is from RNAcentral.
UUUUGAAAAGAAAAAAAAAAAAAAAAAGUCGGCCGGGGACUUUAAUGCGCGUAAUAUAUGAGUAAAUUGAUUCAGUGGCGGAGAGAAGAGGAGCGGCUGGAGAGCAGCGGAAUAAAUGCUGCGGUGCGGGUGGGAUCGGCUCGAGGCUGUUUCAGACGGAGGAGAAGGCGGAGGAUUUGAUGAGUGUUGGUGCUGCCAGCCUUUUCCUCUGGAAUGUGGCAGGCGUUGUUGCUGCGCCGCCCGACUCCUCCAAUAACACCUCCCACCACUCCAACCCUCUCUCUCUCUCUCUCUCUCUCUCUCUCUCUCUCUCUCUCUCNUAUUUUAGUAAAAAUUAUUUUACUAUUAUUUAAUUUUGGUGAAACAAAUUAAGAGCUUUCAAGUUGAAGGAUCAAACAAUAUGGUAGGGUAAGUAAUAAAGGGAGAAGCUCCAAAUUCCAAAACCGCCCCUUCCACCCGUCACCUUCUCAUCCUACGUGCACUACGUGUGCAUGGCUCACAUGCAUUGUCACUGCCUAUGUCACGCCACUCAACCCACCCCCCACCUCUCUCUCUCUCUCUCUCUCUCUCUCUCUCUCUCUCUCUCUCUCUCUCUCUCUUACUGUUGUUGCUUCUUCGAUCUUCUUCUCCCUUCUCUCUCGACAGCACUCUUUCGAGCCUCUGUAGUGACGUCUCUCUCUCUCUCCCUGUACUAACUAUUAUUAUGCGUCUCUUCUCUCUUCCUAUGAUUGAACAGAACAGAACAGAAUUAGUAGAAUAGAUUAGGAUAGGGAGCAGUCACCACUCACCAG